AGCCUCCCGCAAGGGCACUUGUAGAGGUGCUGCAUGGCUGUCGUCAGCUCGUGUCGUGAGAUGUUGGGUUAAGUCCCGCAACGAGCGCAACCUUGUUUGCUGUUGCCAUCAGGUAAUGCUGGGCACUCUGCAAAGACUGCCGGUGAUAAACCGGAGGAAGGUGGGGAUGACGUCAAGUCAGCAUGGCCUUUAUGUCUGGGGCUACACACGUGCUACAAUGGCCGAUACAAACCGUCGCGAGCCCGCAAGGGGGAGCUAAUCGGAGAAAGUCGGUCUCAGUUCGGAUUGCAGGCUGCAACUCGCCUGCAUGAAGUUGGAAUCGCUAGUAAUCGCGGAUCAGCACGCCGCGGUGAAUACGUUCCCGGGCCUUGUACACACCGCCCGUCACAUCACGAAAGCCGGUUGUACUAGAAGUCGCCACACCAACCCGCAAGGGAGGGAGGCGCCUAAGGUAUGGUCGGUGAUUGGGGUGAAGUCGUAACAAGGUAAGCGUAGAUGA
RNAcentral lists this ribosomal RNA (499 nucleotides) under uncultured bacterium. RNAcentral describes it as "bacterial SSU rRNA". It matches the Rfam family "Bacterial small subunit ribosomal RNA", at positions 1011 to 1509 of the family's 1533-position model. The record is from RNAcentral.